Molecule: ribosomal RNA, 1548 nt
Filed under: Enterococcus hirae
Lineage: Bacteria; Bacillati; Bacillota; Bacilli; Lactobacillales; Enterococcaceae
Description: bacterial SSU rRNA
Rfam family: Bacterial small subunit ribosomal RNA
Source: RNAcentral
AGAGUUUGAUCCUGGCUCAGGACGAACGCUGGCGGCGUGCCUAAUACAUGCAAGUCGAACGCUUCUUUUUCCACCGGAGCUUGCUCCACCGGAAAAAGAGGAGUGGCGAACGGGUGAGUAACACGUGGGUAACCUGCCCAUCAGAAGGGGAUAACACUUGGAAACAGGUGCUAAUACCGUAUAACAAUCGAAACCGCAUGGUUUUGAUUUGAAAGGCGCUUUCGGGUGUCGCUGAUGGAUGGACCCGCGGUGCAUUAGCUAGUUGGUGAGGUAACGGCUCACCAAGGCGACGAUGCAUAGCCGACCUGAGAGGGUGAUCGGCCACAUUGGGACUGAGACACGGCCCAAACUCCUACGGGAGGCAGCAGUAGGGAAUCUUCGGCAAUGGACGAAAGUCUGACCGAGCAACGCCGCGUGAGUGAAGAAGGUUUUCGGAUCGUAAAACUCUGUUGUUAGAGAAGAACAAGGAUGAGAGUAACUGUUCAUCCCUUGACGGUAUCUAACCAGAAAGCCACGGCUAACUACGUGCCAGCAGCCGCGGUAAUACGUAGGUGGCAAGCGUUGUCCGGAUUUAUUGGGCGUAAAGCGAGCGCAGGCGGUUUCUUAAGUCUGAUGUGAAAGCCCCCGGCUCAACCGGGGAGGGUCAUUGGAAACUGGGAGACUUGAGUGCAGAAGAGGAGAGUGGAAUUCCAUGUGUAGCGGUGAAAUGCGUAGAUAUAUGGAGGAACACCAGUGGCGCAGGCGGCUCUCUGGUCUGUAACUGACGCUGAGGCUCGAAAGCGUGGGGAGCAAACAGGAUUAGAUACCCUGGUAGUCCACGCCGUAAACGAUGAGUGCUAAGUGUUGGAGGGUUUCCGCCCUUCAGUGCUGCAGCUAACGCAUUAAGCACUCCGCCUGGGGAGUACGACCGCAAGGUUGAAACUCAAAGGAAUUGACGGGGGCCCGCACAAGCGGUGGAGCAUGUGGUUUAAUUCGAAGCAACGCGAAGAACCUUACCAGGUCUUGACAUCCUUUGACCACUCUAGAGAUAGAGCUUCCCCUUCGGGGGCAAAGUGACAGGUGGUGCAUGGUUGUCGUCAGCUCGUGUCGUGAGAUGUUGGGUUAAGUCCCGCAACGAGCGCAACCCUUAUUGUUAGUUGCCAUCAUUUAGUUGGGCACUCUAGCAAGACUGCCGGUGACAAACCGGAGGAAGGUGGGGAUGACGUCAAAUCAUCAUGCCCCUUAUGACCUGGGCUACACACGUGCUACAAUGGGAAGUACAACGAGUCGCAAAGUCGCGAGGCUAAGCUAAUCUCUUAAAGCUUCUCUCAGUUCGGAUUGUAGGCUGCAACUCGCCUACAUGAAGCCGGAAUCGCUAGUAAUCGCGGAUCAGCACGCCGCGGUGAAUACGUUCCCGGGCCUUGUACACACCGCCCGUCACACCACGAGAGUUUGUAACACCCGAAGUCGGUGAGGUAACCUUUUGGAGCCAGCCGCCUAAGGUGGGAUAGAUGAUUGGGGUGAAGUCGUAACAAGGUAGCCGUAUCGGAAGGUGCGGCUGGAUCACCU